Molecule: ribosomal RNA, 437 nt
Filed under: uncultured bacterium
Lineage: Bacteria
Description: bacterial SSU rRNA
Rfam family: Bacterial small subunit ribosomal RNA
Source: RNAcentral
UGGAGGCAGCAGUAAGGAAUUUUGCGCAAUGGGCGAAAGCCUGACGCAGCAACGCCGCGUGCGGGAUGAAGGCCUUCGGGUUGUAAACCGCUUUCAGCAGGGAUGAAACUGACAGUACCUGCAGAAGAAGCCCCGGCUAACUACGUGCCAGCAGCCGCGGUAAUACGUAGGGGGCAAGCGUUAUCCGGAUUCAUUGGGCGUAAAGAGCGCGUAGGCGGCUUGUUAAGUCAGAUGUGAAAACCGGGGGCUCAACCCGCGGCCUGCAUCUGAAACUGGCAGGCUUGAGUCUGGUAGAGGAAAGUGGAAUUCCCAGUGUAGCGGUGAAAUGCGCAGAUAUUGGGAGGAACACCAGUGGCGAAGGCGGCUUUCUGGGCCACGACUGACGCUGAGGCGCGAAAGCUAGGGGAGCGAACAGGAUUAGAUACCCCGGUAGUCCG